GUAGCUUGACAUUGGGUCUUGGUACUACAUGUACAGGAUAGGUGGGAGGCUUUGAAACCAGGACGCCAGUUUUGGCGGAGCCAUCCUUGGGAUACCACCCUUGUAGUACUGGGACUCUAACCAUAGGCCAUGAAUCUGGUCUUGGGACACUGUCAGGUGGGCAGUUUGACUGGGGCGGUCGCCUCCCAAAAGGUAACGGAGGCGCUCAAAGGUUCUCUCAGUACGGUCGGAAAUCGUACGUAGAGUGUAAAGGCAAAAGAGAGCUUGAUUGCAAGACAUACAGGUCGAGCAAGGAUGAAAAUCGGACUUAGUGAUCCGGUGGUUCUGCGUGGAAGGGCCAUCGCUCAACGGAUAAAAGCUACCCUGGGGAUAACAGGCUUAUCUCCCCCAAGAGUCCACAUCGACGGGGAGGUUUGGCACCUCGAUGUCGGCUCAUCACAUCCUGGGGCUGUAGUAGGUCCCAAGGGUUGGGCUGUUCGCCCAUUAAAGUGGUACGCGAGCUGGGUUCAGAACGUCGUGAGACAGUUCGGUCCCUAUCCGUCGCAGGCGUAGGAAAUUUGAGAAGACCUGUCCUUAGUACGAGAGGACCGGGAUGGACG
RNAcentral lists this ribosomal RNA (599 nucleotides) under Clostridioides difficile. RNAcentral describes it as "partial 23S ribosomal RNA". It matches the Rfam family "Bacterial large subunit ribosomal RNA", at positions 2106 to 2703 of the family's 2925-position model. The record is from RNAcentral. Lineage: Bacteria; Bacillati; Bacillota; Clostridia; Peptostreptococcales; Peptostreptococcaceae.